Molecule: ribosomal RNA, 766 nt
Filed under: uncultured Granulicatella sp.
Lineage: Bacteria; Bacillati; Bacillota; Bacilli; Lactobacillales; Carnobacteriaceae
Description: bacterial SSU rRNA
Rfam family: Bacterial small subunit ribosomal RNA
Source: RNAcentral
GACGAACGCCGGCGGCGUGCCUAAUACAUGCAAGUCGAACGAGAGCGACCGGUGCUUGCACUGGUCAAUCUAGUGGCGAACGGGUGAGUAACACGUGGGUAACCUGCCCAUCAGAGGGGGAUAACAUUCGGAAACGGAUGCUAAAACCGCAUAGGUCCUUUAACCGCAUGGUUGAAGGAGGAAAAGAGGCGCAAGCUUCUGCUGAUGGAUGGACCCGCGGUGCAUUAGCUAGUUGGUGAGGUAACGGCUCACCAAGGCCGUGAUGCAUAGCCGACCUGAGAGGGUGAUCGGCCACAUUGGGACUGAGACACGGCCCAAACUCCUACGGGAGGCAGCAGUAGGGAAUCUUCCGCAAUGGACGCAAGUCUGACGGAGCAACGCCGCGUGAGUGAAGAAGGUUUUCGGAUCGUAAAACUCUGUUGUUAGAGAAGAACAAGUGCUAGAGUAACUGUUAGCGCCUUGACGGUAUCUAACCAGAAAGCCACGGCUAACUACGUGCCAGCAGCCGCGGUAAUACGUAGGUGGCAAGCGUUGUCCGGAUUUAUUGGGCGUAAAGCGAGCGCAGGCGGUUCCUUAAGUCUGAAGUUAAAGGCUGUGGCUUAACCAUAGUACGCUUUGGAAACUGUUUAACUUGAGUGCAAGAGGGGAGAGUGGAAUUCCAUGUGUAGCGGUGAAAUGCGUAGAUAUAUGGAGGAACACCGGUGGCGAAAGCGGCUCUCUGGCUUGUAACUGACGCUGAGGCUCGAAAGCGUGGGGAGCAAACAGG